RNAcentral lists this ribosomal RNA (424 nucleotides) under uncultured bacterium. RNAcentral's name for it is "bacterial SSU rRNA". It matches the Rfam family "Bacterial small subunit ribosomal RNA", at positions 506 to 929 of the family's 1533-position model. The record is from RNAcentral.
UGCCAGCAGCCGCGGUAAUACGUAGGUGGCAAGCGUUGUCCGGAAUUACUGGGUGUAAAGGGAGCGCAGGCGGGGAGACAAGUCCGCUGUGAAAACUAUGGGCUUAACCCAUAGACGGCAGUGGAAACUGUAUCUCUUGAGUGGAGUAGAGGCAGGCGGAAUUCCGAGUGUAGCGGUGAAAUGCGUAGAUAUUCGGAGGAACACCAGUGGCGAAGGCGGCCUGCUGGGCUCUAACUGACGCUGAGGCUCGAAAGUGUGGGGAGCAAACAGGAUCAGAUACCCUGGUAGUCCACACUGUAAACGAUGAUUGCUAGGUGUGGGGGGUCUAACCCCUUCCGUGCCGGAGCUAACGCAAUAAGCAAUCCACCUGGGGAGUACGGCCGCAAGGUUGAAACUCAAAGGAAUUGACGGGGGCCCGCACAAG